This 73-nucleotide transfer RNA is filed under the name Mustela putorius furo (domestic ferret). It matches the Rfam family "tRNA". Rfam says of the family: Transfer RNA (tRNA) molecules are approximately 80 nucleotides in length. Their secondary structure includes four short double-helical elements and three loops (D, anti-codon, and T loops). Lineage: Eukaryota; Metazoa; Chordata; Mammalia; Carnivora; Mustelidae. The record is from Rfam by way of RNAcentral.
GCCUGGUUGGCUCCGUCGGUGGAGCAUGUGACUCUUGAUCUUAGAGUUGUGAGUUUCAGCCCCACACUGGGUG